UUGAACGCUGGCGGCAUGCUUUACACAUGCAAGUCGAACGGCAGCGCGGGGCAACCUGGCGGCGAGUGGCGAACGGGUGAGUAAUAUAUCGGAACGUACCCAGAAGUGGGGGAUAACGUAGCGAAAGUUACGCUAAUACCGCAUACGAUCUACGGAUGAAAGUAGGGGACCGCAAGGCCUUAUGCUUUUGGAGCGGCCGAUAUCUGAUUAGCUAGUUGGUGAGGUAAAGGCUCACUAAGGCGACGAUCAGUAGCUGGUCUGAGAGGACGACCAGCCACACUGGAACUGAGACACGGUCCAGACUCCUACGGGAGGCAGCAGUGGGGAAUUUUGGACAAUGGGCGCAAGCCUGAUCCAGCAAUGCCGCGUGAGUGAAGAAGGCCUUCGGGUUGUAAAGCUCUUUUGUCAGGGAAGAAACGGUAGAGGCUAAUAUCCUUUGCUAAUGACGGUACCUGAAGAAUAAGCACCGGCUAACUACGUG
RNAcentral lists this ribosomal RNA (481 nucleotides) under uncultured bacterium. Its description in RNAcentral is "partial 16S ribosomal RNA". It matches the Rfam family "Bacterial small subunit ribosomal RNA", at positions 30 to 507 of the family's 1533-position model. The record is from RNAcentral.